This 425-nucleotide ribosomal RNA is filed under the name uncultured bacterium. RNAcentral describes it as "bacterial SSU rRNA". It matches the Rfam family "Bacterial small subunit ribosomal RNA", at positions 354 to 796 of the family's 1533-position model. The record is from RNAcentral.
GUGGGGAAUCUUAGACAAUGGGGGAAACCCUGAUCUAGCCAUGCCGCGUGAGCGAUGAAGGCCUUAGGGUUGUAAAGCUCUUUCAGAUGGGAAGAUAAUGACGGUACCAUCAGAAGAAGCCCCGGCUAACUCCGUGCCAGCAGCCGCGGUAAUACGGAGGGGGCUAGCGUUGUUCGGAAUUACUGGGCGUAAAGCGCACGUAGGCGGACCAGAAAGUCAGAGGUGAAAUCCCAGGGCUCAACCUUGGAACUGCCUUUGAAACUCCUGGUCUUGAGGUCGAGAGAGGUGAGUGGAAUUCCGAGUGUAGAGGUGAAAUUCGUAGAUAUUCGGAGGAACACCAGUGGCGAAGGCGGCUCACUGGCUCGAUACUGACGCUGAGGUGCGAAAGCGUGGGGAGCAAACAGGAUUAGAAACCCUGGUAGUCC